UACGUAGGGGGCUAGCGUUGUUCGGAAUUACUGGGCGUAAAGCGCGUGUAGGCGGUUAUCCAAGUCGGGUGUGAAAGCCUUGAGCUCAACUCAAGAAAUGCACUCGGUACUGGGUGACUAGAGGACCGGAGAGGAUAGUGGAAUUCCCAGUGUAGUGGUGAAAUACGUAGAGAUUGGGAAGAACACCAGUGGCGAAGGCGGCUAUCUGGACGGUUUCUGACGCUAAGACGCGAAAGCGUGGGGAGCAAACAGG
This 253-nucleotide ribosomal RNA is filed under the name uncultured bacterium. RNAcentral describes it as "partial 16S ribosomal RNA". It matches the Rfam family "Bacterial small subunit ribosomal RNA", at positions 524 to 776 of the family's 1533-position model. The record is from RNAcentral.